Long non-coding RNA from Oncorhynchus keta (chum salmon), 934 nucleotides. RefSeq lists it as uncharacterized. The transcript is spliced from 3 exons. NCBI's taxonomy places the organism in Eukaryota, Metazoa, Chordata, Actinopteri, Salmoniformes, Salmonidae. The record is from RefSeq and is a predicted model, not a curated record.
AUGGUGAGGGAUCUGGCCUUGCUCUAGGUUAAUGGUGAGGGAUCUGGCCUUGCUCUAGGUUAAUGGUGAGGGAACUGGCCUUGCUCUAGGUUAAUGGUGAGGGAACUGGCCUUGCUCUAGGUUAAUGAUGGAGAUGAGAGAAUAGAGAAGAUAGACCUAUUUGAUGAUGUGCUCAGGGUGUGAUAUCCCAACUCUACUUCUCAAGGUCUUAAGCCUAUUAAACGGCAGUGAAAACCAUGAUACAUCAAGUUUGUCAAAAACGAGUGGAAAAUUAAAUGAAUUAUACCAUUUGUUUUCCUCGUUGGGAGUUUUUACCAGUCAGGGUUACCAUAGCCACUCUGGCAGGAAGGCUGUUCUCAGACUAGUGGCGCUACGGCGCUGGUGAUUAGAUCUUAACCUUGGAGAGGGAACACUCAGGCGUAAAUAUCAUUAUUUCUUUCCCUGGCUCCUAAUUAAGGCCGUUUUGUUAAUAAACGGGAAUGUUGUUUAAAUGCUCAUGACCUCACCGUUAAGCAAAACAAUAACACGGGUCAAAAACAAAUCUCGCCCUUCACCGGAUCGUUCAAUAGAAGCCGGUGGCUAAUUAACCACAAAGCCCAGUCUCUUAGUUCUCCAGGCCCGCCAGAGCGCCAGCGUUGCUCCAUUUCUCCUCUCUGGAUCCACCCUUGUCCCAGAGCCCAUUCCUUCAUGGUCUGAAUCUUAAUAAAAUAACAGAGAGGGAAUGGAGUGCUGACGGGCCCAAUCCCAAAUCUGAUUAACCCGUUUGACCCCAGAGGAGAGUUUUCUGAGGCUGAUGGAAAAAUGGAGAGGUAGAGGGAGUCAUCUGAUAACUGACCCCUAAUAUGGUAGCCAGGAUUGCAGAUAAUGAAAAGUUAAAGAGCCAGGUUAACGCUGAUGGCAUCAAUCAGGACCUGAACUCGUCCACCCAGUCCAA